AUAUAUAUAUAUAUAUAUAUAUAUUAGAAUGUAGUCCAAUAUUUUAACUAAACUUUUGAAAAGAAUACAAAAUGUUUUAAAAUAGUUUUAUCAGUAAUCUAAAUGUUGUGAAAAGUGAAAAUAUAAAAAGAAAAUUAGUUCUUUCAUCAUUUAUGUAGAGUUGACUUCAGUUUUCUGAUUUGUUACAACCUGUCAUUUAACUAGAGUUGACUUUAAUGUUCAGAUUUAUCAUAAUUUGUCAUAUAGCGAAAAAUAAAUAUUUGUGAUAAUUUAAUAUAAUUGUUUGGGGAUGUAAAGUCUGAGUGGUAAAGUGCUUGGCUCCUAAAUUGUGGGAUUUUAUGUACGAGUCUCAUGGAAUACUGGUAUUGAACGUUUUGGAUUUUUAGGAUGCCUUGGGUCCACCCAAAUCUUAUGAGUACCUGACAUUAGUUGGGGUGAAACAAAGGAGGUUGUCAUUGUGCUGGCCACAUUACACCCUUGUUAACCAUUGGUUUUAGAAUCAAUAAACCUUUUCAUCUGCCCUUUAGAUGGCAAGGUGGUAACAUUACAUUUUACGAAAUAAUAGAAUUGUUUAAAAAAAAACUAAAGUUAAAUAUUAUAUAGUUCAUAAUAAUCAUGUAAUGGCCAAAUAAAAAAUAUAAUGAUAAAAGUAUUUGCUUUGUUAUACAUUUCAUUCCUUCUGAUACUAAGAGUCUAAGUCUUAGUUUUGCAUGUUUUGUGGCACUUUAAUCUUAAGUAUAUAACAAGCUGAAGUAUUUUAUCACAAUAAUGAUUUUCAAAUGGCAGACAUCUUCAAACGUUAUCAAAGGAGGCU
Molecule: non-coding RNA, 814 nt
Organism: Biomphalaria pfeifferi
Lineage: Eukaryota; Metazoa; Mollusca; Gastropoda; Planorbidae
Source: the annotation of a GenBank genome assembly